GGAUUGGGCUCGGGAGAGGUGGCGCAGGGGUUAACUAUGGGAAUCCAAUGACUUUGCAAGGGCUUGGGGCUCGCCAGGAUGGACGACUAUCUUCAAUGCCCGGAAAUGGAUCAGUUGGCACUGGCUUGCCACCCUACUAUGGGCGCUAGGUAUCUCAUUUCUGAUGGUUGAUUUCUCAGAUUAUGUUACCUGCUUCACUUUUUAAGCUCCGG
Molecule: unclassified non-coding RNA, 212 nt
Filed under: Hevea brasiliensis (rubber tree)
Lineage: Eukaryota; Viridiplantae; Streptophyta; Magnoliopsida; Malpighiales; Euphorbiaceae
Source: RNAcentral